GAUGAACGCUAGCGGCAGGCUUAACACAUGCAAGUCGAGGGGUAACAGGGAAGAGCUUGCUUUUCCGCUGACGACCGGCGCACGGGUGAGUAACGCGUAUAGAACCUACCUUUUACAGGGGAAUAGCCCAGAGAAAUUUGGAUUAAUGCCCCAUAGUAUUAUUGAAUGGCAUCAUUUAAUAAUUAAACAUUUAUGGGUAAAAGAUGGCUAUGCGUUCUAUUAGCUAGAUGGUAAGGUAACGGCUUACCAUGGCAACGAUAGAUAGGGGUCCUGAGAGGGAGAUCCCCCACACUGGUACUGAGACACGGACCAGACUCCUACGGGAGGCAGCAGUGAGGAAUAUUGGACAAUGGAGGCAACUCUGAUCCAGCCAUGCCGCGUGCAGGAAGACGGUCCUAUGGAUUGUAAACUGCUUUUAUAUAGGAAGAAACCUUUCCACGUGUAGAAAGCUGACGGUACUAUAAGAAUAAGCACCGGCUAACUCCGUGCCAGCAGCCGCGGUAAUACGGAGGGUGCAAGCGUUAUCCGGAAUCAUUGGGUUUAAAGGGUCCGUAGGCGGACUAAUAAGUCAGGGGUGAAAUCCAACAGCUUAACUGUUGAACUGCCUUUGAUACUGUUAGUCUUGAGUUAUAUGGAAGUAGAUAGAAUAUGUAGUGUAGCGGUGAAAUGCUUAGAGAUUAC
Molecule: ribosomal RNA, 681 nt
Filed under: Lutibacter sp.
Lineage: Bacteria; Pseudomonadati; Bacteroidota; Flavobacteriia; Flavobacteriales; Flavobacteriaceae
Description: bacterial SSU rRNA
Rfam family: Bacterial small subunit ribosomal RNA
Source: RNAcentral